CCUACGGGAGGCAGCAGUGAGGAAUAUUGGUCAAUGGACGAGAGUCUGAACCAGCCAAGUAGCGUGAAGGAUGACUGCCCUAUGGGUUGUAAACUUCUUUUAUAUGGGAAUAAAAUGUUCCACGUGUGGGAUUUUGUAUGUACCAUAUGAAUAAGGAUCGGCUAACUCCGUGCCAGCAGCCGCGGUAAUACGGAGGAUCCGAGCGUUAUCCGGAUUUAUUGGGUUUAAAGGGAGCGUAGGUGGAUUGUUAAGUCAGUUGUGAAAGUUUGCGGCUCAACCAUAAAAUUGCAGUUGAAACUGGCAGUCGUGAGUACAGUAGAGGUGGGCGGAAUUCGUGGUGUAGCGGUGAAAUGCUUAGAUAUCACGAAGAACUCCGAUUGCGAAGGCAGCUCACUGGACUGCAACUGACACUGAGGCUCGAAAGUGUGGGUAUCAAACAGGAUUAGAUACCCCUGUAGUC
This 460-nucleotide ribosomal RNA is filed under the name uncultured bacterium. RNAcentral describes it as "partial 16S ribosomal RNA". It matches the Rfam family "Bacterial small subunit ribosomal RNA", at positions 338 to 795 of the family's 1533-position model. The record is from RNAcentral.